GACGAACCGAGCGAACGUUGUUCGGAAUAACUGGGCUUAAAGGGCGCGUAGGCGGGCCGCCAAGUUCGAGGUGAAAUCCUCCGGCUCAACCGGAGAACUGCCUCGAAUACUGGAGGCCUCGAGGCGGGUAGGGGCAUGCGGAACUGUGGGUGGAGCGGUGAAAUGCGUUGAUAUCCACAGGAACUCCGGUGGCGAAGGCGGCAUGCUGGACCCGAUCUGACGCUGAGGCGCGAAAGCCAGGGGAGCAAACGGGAUUAGAAACCCUCGUAGUCC
Molecule: ribosomal RNA, 273 nt
Filed under: uncultured bacterium
Lineage: Bacteria
Description: partial 16S ribosomal RNA
Rfam family: Bacterial small subunit ribosomal RNA
Source: RNAcentral